Molecule: ribosomal RNA, 328 nt
Filed under: uncultured soil bacterium
Lineage: Bacteria
Description: bacterial SSU rRNA
Rfam family: Bacterial small subunit ribosomal RNA
Source: RNAcentral
AGAGUGAACGCUGGCGGUAGGCCUAACACAUGCAAGUCGAACGGCAGCACAGUGGUAGCAAUACCAUGGGUGGCGAGUGGCGGGCGGGUGAGGAAUACAUCGGAAUCUACCUUUUCGUGGGGGAUAACGUAGGGAAACUUACGCUAAUACCGCAUAAGACCUUCGGGUGAAAGCCGGGGACCUUCGGGCCUGGCGCGGAUAGAUGAGCCGAUGUCGGAUUAGCUUGUUGGCGGGUAAAAGCCCACAAGGCGACGAUCCGUAGCUGGUCUGAGAGGAUGAUCAGCCACACUGGAACUGAGACACGGUCCAGACUCCGUACGGGAGGCAG